RNAcentral lists this ribosomal RNA (777 nucleotides) under uncultured Neocallimastigales. Its description in RNAcentral is "partial large subunit ribosomal RNA". It matches the Rfam family "Eukaryotic large subunit ribosomal RNA", at positions 23 to 644 of the family's 3401-position model. Lineage: Eukaryota; Fungi; Neocallimastigomycota; Neocallimastigomycetes; Neocallimastigales. The record is from RNAcentral.
AGAGAGAGACAUGCGCGCAUAUCAAUAAGCGGAGGAAAAGAAACUAACAAGGAUUCCCUUAGUAACGGCGAGUGAAGCGGGAAGAGCUCAAAUUUGAAAUCUUCAAGGUUCUACCUUGACGAAUUGUAGUUUAUAGAAGUGUUUUCUGUUAGUGGAGUGGCAAAAGUUCUUUGGAAUAGGACAUCAUAGAGGGUGAGAAUCCCGUAUUUGACCAUUUCUUCCAGCUGUGUGAUACACUUUCAAAGAGUCGGAUUGUUUGGGAAUGCAGUCCAAAAUGGGUGGUAAAUUUCAUCUAAAGCUAAAUAUUGGCGAGAGACCGAUAGCGAACAAGUACCGUGAGGGAAAGAUGAAAAGAACUUUGAAAAGAGAGUUAAACAGUACGUGAAAUUGUCAAAAGGGAAGCGUUUGACACCAGUGUUGUUUUUCCGAAAAUCAAUUACGAAUGUUUUAUUUUUGAGGAGUUAUGACUUCAUCGGCUUGCUCCUUUCUUUAUGAAACUUUCUUAAUGCACUUUUCGGUUAACAAGUCAACAUCAAUUUCUUUUGUUGUAAAAGGGUAUGAGGAAGGUGGCUUUCUUUUCGGAGAAAGUGUUUAUAGCCUUGUGCCUCUGCAAUCGGAGAGAUCGAGGUCUGCAGCGUAGAUCCUUCGGGGUUAGAUACGUUAGAUGCUAAGUUAUAGCUUUUUCAUAGACAACUUGUUGACUAUGAUUUAAUCUUGUAGCUUACUCGCUGACGCUAUUUUACCUACGCUUAGGAUGUUGAUAGUCACAGCGUGUAC